Mauremys mutica (yellowpond turtle) is the source of this 371-nucleotide long non-coding RNA. RefSeq lists it as uncharacterized. The record is from RefSeq and is a predicted model, not a curated record. The transcript is spliced from 3 exons. NCBI's taxonomy places the organism in Eukaryota, Metazoa, Chordata, Testudines, Geoemydidae.
GGCUCCUGCCAAGGAGUUGCUAGGGCUACAGACCGCGAAGGCCAAGCCAGUGGGACCAAUGGUGGAACCCCUGCUGACCCCAGAGGACAAGAGUGAGCCGGAAGGCUGACACCCCCAGGAGAACUGACAGAGCAGGAACCAAGGCUUGAUCUGACAGCGUUCCCCCCCGGAGUCUGCAUUGCUGCUCCAAGCCCAGCCUUGGCUCCACUCUCAGCAGGCUGGUGAAGGUGAGCCUGUGACGUCUUGGGCCUCUUGCACUCAAUGGCGCAUUGAAGCACAUCAGGAAAGGAUCAGGUAUGGACCAAGGCAGCAUCAUUUGAAUCCUGGGAUUGAGUUCAAGGCCCACACCGGGUUAUGGUUCAGAAUCGGAG